UGGCCUAACUGGGGGCACGGGCACAUAACAUAACCUAAUCCUAAUAUUUACAUUUGUAAAGAAUAUCCUGUUUGUUUUUAUUUUUUAUUGUCGAUUGUGCAGCGAAAUUGUGAUAGCAAAUCAAAUAUAAAGUAGUUUAUCGCCUACAGAACUGAAUUAGUCCAUAGCAGUUAUCAGUUUGCAAGUAGCAAGGGCUUUCUUGAGAAGCUUAUACAUGUAACUUGUAUUGUUGUAAAUUGUGGGAGUAGGGCAGACAGGGAAAAGUCUUAUUCUGUACUGUUCCCAAGGCUCCCCAUCCAAUACAUUUAAAUGAAUUAUCCAAACAAAGCCGGGGACAAUGGAUAAAAGCCACAAGAAGAACAGAUAUAAGGGAACUAAAAUUAAAAUAUGAAAAGUAAACAUUUUAUAAGUGGAACAACCACCAGAUAUUUAAAAGGUAUAAAAAGAAGAAACUGCUGGAACUUCAAAACAAAUGUGUUUGACUAGUAAAGAUUUGGAUAAAUAACAGGAGUUACUUUGGGCUAUAGCUACGUGUAGAUUUAUUUCCUUGUGGCUUCCUAUGUUAAUUCUUAUUAAUUAUACACUUAAAUAUGUUUUUAGUCUCAGGAAGAUUUUAUAUUUGAUUAUUUUUGAAUAAACAUUAUUAUUAUUAUUACCUUAAUUUCCAUUAAAUAAAUUAACUGUAAUCAAUAAAGUAAUCGUUUAAUUGUUAAUAAAUUAUCAAGUAUGA
Long non-coding RNA from Diabrotica virgifera virgifera (western corn rootworm), 730 nucleotides. RefSeq lists it as uncharacterized. The record is from RefSeq and is a predicted model, not a curated record. NCBI's taxonomy places the organism in Eukaryota, Metazoa, Arthropoda, Insecta, Coleoptera, Chrysomelidae. The transcript is spliced from 2 exons.